Molecule: ribosomal RNA, 309 nt
Filed under: uncultured eukaryote
Lineage: Eukaryota
Description: partial 18S ribosomal RNA
Rfam family: Eukaryotic small subunit ribosomal RNA
Source: RNAcentral
CCCUUAGAUGUUCUGGGCGGCCCGCGCACUACAAUGGCGUGUGCAGCGAGUGCCGAAGUAGAGUUUUCCGAGGUAUUCUUGCAAUGCUCGUUUUGAUGGGGAUAGACCCUUGCAACUGUUGGUUUUGAACGAGGAAUUCCUUGUAAGCAUGGUUUAUCAUCCGACGCUGAAUGUGUCCCUGCCCUUUGUACACACCGCCCGUCGCUCCUACCGAUGAGUCGUCCGGUGAAGUUCGUAGACCUCGUGAUCGCGGAUCACUGGGGGAAGCAAAAUGAACCUCGCGGUUUAGAGGAAGGAGAAGUCGUAACA